Molecule: long non-coding RNA, 1062 nt
Organism: Drosophila mojavensis
Lineage: Eukaryota; Metazoa; Arthropoda; Insecta; Diptera; Drosophilidae
Exons: 3
Source: RefSeq, a predicted model, not a curated record
UCCACACGGAUACUGGUUGGAAUAACAAGCUGGACAACCUCAAAGUUUUAAUGAGUCCAAUUUAGUUCAAGUCAAUGAUACGCCCACCAACGACUACACAGGCCAAGAGACAAACAUUAUUUAUGCUGUCAGUAAUCACAGCUUCGGUCAGCAAUGCUCUCGUUCCAUUUUGAAAAAAUAUGGCAUGACACUACAAGCCAUGUGGGUCCUAAAAACGCACCAUUUAUAUUUAUUGGAGUUGACCGGCAAGUCGACGGCAUAUUGAACGCUUGAGGGUCGCUGACAAAGGAUUAACCGUAAGGACAAGGCCAUCGAAUGCGGCGAGCUGACAAGUUGGCAACAUUCAUACCGUAAGAUGGCUGACAGGGCUGACAAGGACAUGCUUUGGUAAAUUAUAUGAAAAGAAGAAAACUCGUUGGCAUUCGGCUGGCUUCACAAAAUGCCAUUUAAUUUUUCAUGUUGUCCAUUCCAUUUUGUGGCCCUUCGCUCACAGCGUUGAUGCUUGUUUUUCCUCAGUGUUCCUGUUUUUUGUCUUUAAAUGUUAUAAAUGAGAGUUGUGCUCUGCUGCUUUGUUGUGUGGCUUAACCCAGAAAUUAGUUGUCAUUCUGCUAAUAGUCCACUCGCACCUUUUUCAUACAGUUAUAUAAAUGUGUUUUUUGUGUUUAUUACUUUUUAUUAUCAUUGUCAUCGUGUGGUGGAGUGUGACCACUGCGUGAUUAUACGCCCAAAUAAUAUUUAAUACAUUUCCUGGCCAUGCUGUUCCACUGCUUGCCAUUGGGGCAUUUACACUGGCUGGCCGGGAUCAUUAAAAUAAUGACCAACGCCAGCUGAUGCAGCUUCAUAUUUUAGCUUAGUUCUUAGCUGGUUCAGUCCGAAACAUGAGAUGUUCACCAAAAUAACGUUAGCUUUGCCACAGUUCAAAUAUAGAAAUAUAUCGAUUGGUCAGGGCUUGGUAACAUUUCAUUUAACGACGAGCUUCCGACACACAAAAUACCAUGAUAUCUAACUGCAAACUGCAGUCUAGCAUGACAAACUGAUUUGGGCAUAAAAAUGUGUUUAAAU